Malaclemys terrapin pileata is the source of this 4623-nucleotide long non-coding RNA. RefSeq lists it as uncharacterized. The record is from RefSeq and is a predicted model, not a curated record. The transcript has 2 exons. Lineage: Eukaryota; Metazoa; Chordata; Testudines; Emydidae.
AUAAAGAGAAAGUUAAUCUGCGUUCAAGGUCAAGAAUCAAUGCAGACCAGGCUAAGUACAAAGAAAAACUGCUUUCGGCCCCAGCUGACUGUGAAAAAAUAUAGACAUAGUCAAACCAAAGGCAAUACAAGUUACAGUGCUGAGAUUACAUUUGCAAAGCUUAACUGUCCAGUGAGAUCCAACAGUCUGCCUUUGCGACCCUGGAGCUGGCGUGGUUUGGGGAAGCUGAAGAAGCCACAGGCAGCCGGCCUGGACUGGAAUCACUGAAAAGACGCCCCAGGAGACCUCAGGGUGUAAAAGAACUGCCCUCCCAAGAGAGGAAGCAAGUUGGAGAUUGCACAGCACCUUCUCUGAACGUUAUACACAGACGUGGCCAGUCUGGACGUACGUGUGUGAGUAUGAAAGUGUGUCUACUCUCAGCCACAGUAAGUCUGAGAACCGGAGAGGGAUUUAGCAUUCCUCUUUCCACCCCGGCUGACCGGGAAGGGUGUCAGGUGGAUCUACCCCAGUCGUAGCAGGACUGGGCAAUAGAGAAGUUGGAGAAAAGGGAAGAGUUGUGUACUUGAUAACUAGAAUUGAGCAAUUAAGAGCAUAGAUCAUGAACCAGGCAGCAACUCAAACCUACGCCCAGGGCAAGUUGCAAGCCUUGAGACAGGACUUCCAGGCAGAAAAGGAAGCACUGGCUAAGCAAGUACCGGUCCUUCAGGGACUUGUCAGAAUUUAACCAUUUGUGUUUGCAUAUGCUGUAAGAGCAGUGUGUUUGCCACAAGAGAAAAUUGAAUAGUUAAAUGCCAAUGGGCCAUGUGUUUUGCCCAAGUGGCAAGCCUCACGGGGGAGGACUCGGGUAGCCUUGUGAGUAAGAAUGUUUAAGAGAAGAGACCAGGAAGGGUGGGGGCUAGUUAAGAAGCCCACCCUCCUAUCUAAAUUGGUAGUGAAAAAGCUGGUGCCCAUGGAAGGGACGGUUCAGCGAGAAAAGCAGGAUCGGGCCCAAGCGGGCAGGCAAUAGAUAGAGAGAUUGGAGAACAGGUUGGAAACUUUGAGGGCAUAGUGGAAGGAAAGGAGUAAGUAAUUAUAAGCAUGGGGAUUUCAAAUCCCCAGGAUAAUAAUUGAAAUGGUAAAAUGUGUGUAAGACAGAGUCUUUGUACCAAGGUGCAAGGCUCUCCUUUCUUCUGCAGAAUAAAGCAACUCUUCCUUAUCCCUGUCUGGCUGUUAUUGGCUCUCAGCUAGGUGGACCCGAUAUUUUGGUGACAGUUACUGGCGACUCCGGUUAAUGAAUUUCUGUCUUAUACAUUUAGGUGUUAGGUGUGUGGACGGAACUGAGCCUCUCAUUUGUAAUUCCUCAGAGUGGAAGCCAUCGCGUGCAAUGAAGCUCUGAGGUUGAAUUGGGAUCCUUCUGUCCCGUCCCCUGUAGCGGUCAGUAUUAGUAGAAAUUCCUGUAAUAGGAUCCUAUUAGGCCAUAAUUCCCUCUGUUCUCUGUGUAAUUCUCUGUUAGAGUGUCAGCAGGCAGAUGGGUGGGUCUCUGGUAAAACCCUCUAAGGAUAGCCCUUUGAAUUAUAUGUUAAGUAAAUGGCCUUUACCCGGUGUUCAGGAAAGAAUAAAGAUUUGAAUUUGUUUUUGGGUAACAAAAUAGCAGAUAAAAGAUCUGGUAAAAAGAGAGAGAAGGACAGUGUCCCUGGCUCUGUGUGGUCGAGCUGUCACUUUAUUAGGGGUGCAUGGAGAUUUUGUAAGCACAAAAGAAACAGUUACACCUUGUGUAGAAAUUGAUGUGGCUAGUGUUGUGGAAAUUGAAUUGUGGAUAGGAUGUGCAUUUUCCCCAGAACAUGUGCAGUGUAUAUUGUAGCAGAGGUAAAAGAAAUGCAAACCUACCAAUAUAGGUUGUGUCGUCUCUUUCAGAUCACUGGGUGUUUGAAAGCAGGAGUUAGAAGUAAAAGGCAAUCAAAAGUCUGGGAAAGUUAAUUGUGACUUUUUACAUAAGAAUUUUUAAGCUGUGGAUAGCUGUGGAUCUGGAAGCAAGCCAGAAAGCAUCUGUAUUAAUGCAAUUUUCUAACUAAUAAGGUAGAAGCCACUGAAACCUGGGCUGCCUAUGAAACAAAUACAAGGAAAUAUGGGGUAAUUCCUCUGUUUUGUCUAAAAUCAACAAGAGUAUGUGUGUAUAUAAAGGAAAUAUUUUAAGCAAUGACUGACUACCCAGAAGGGGUAGACCUCUGUUCUUUUGUCUUUCAGAUCAUCAGAGAAAACGGAUGCCAGCUGAACAGCAUUCAAUGUACCAUGCAUUUACUGGUUAAAAGAAGCCAAGAAGGGGAGAAGGAAAAAGAACAGAACGAGUUAACUGAGGAAAAAUAGCUAGCAAGCUCAGUCCAAAGAUAAGAUGCUGGCACCAUCCAAGGACACUGCCCACAGCUAAGACUUGGCUGAUAGCCAAGAAAAGGGGGGCCUGAAUGUGCCCAAGCAACUAUGAGAUCUGAAAAACACUGCCAGGCAUUAAUGAAAUGUGUUAGGUUUCUUUUCUCACAGAUAAAAGAAGUGCUACCCAAAGACCCUAGCAGCCCUGCCAUUCAUUGAAACAAGGAGACUGAGUCUACGUAAAGUCUAUCAACGAAAGACUGCUUUGGCUCCCCACUGGAAAGGCCCUUUCCAAGUCCUGUUAACCACCACCACCACUGUGAAGUGCCAAGGACUACCUGCCUGGACCCAUGCUUCUCACUGUAAAAAGACCCCUCCACCUCGGGAGGACUCUCCGACUGAGGAUAAGCCUAUUUCUCCUUCUAGCUUUGCUGUGUCUUCUGGACAGCAGAAAAAAGAAAAAAAAAAGACAAGGUGAAGUGCUAGUAACCUCUCCCUUGUCCACUGACAGACCUACUGUGCCUCUGGAUUUUUCUAGAAGAAGCAAAACCAUUACAGGGUGAUGUGCUAGUAACCUCUCCCCUGUAUGAUGCUAAACCACACUGUUUCAGGAAAAGAGAAGAAGGAACACUUGCUUCACUGAAACCACAAAGUCCAGGGAUUCCUGACUACAAGAGACAUUAAGAACUGACCCUGGUGAAGAAACAAAGAAUUAUACACUGGCAGGAAGAAACUUGUGGGACCCAUGCUUGGGAAUGUGGUAUAGUACUACACCAAAAAGAAAUGUAUUAGGAUAUCAAUGAACUGUGAUUAACACUACACUAGGGACUGUUAAAUUUUCAUUACCCUUAUCCAGUUUCCAGAUUACCUCUACAUACCCAAAUUGCUCACAGGGGGCUGCCAUUAGAUUAGCACAACAGAGGGCUUGGGUUAUUUCUUCUAGAAAGAAGAGAGACUUGACCGGAUCCCUGUGGGAUGGGGCCAAUAAUGCAGCAGCAGUUUGGAAUAUUUUUAAGAACCAAGAACAUGAUGAGAAAUUGGGGCAACUAGAGAAGGCCAUUGGCCUUGUUUCUGGAGCACAACUAACCCAGGUACAGGCUGGAGUUGGUGAGUUACAUGUUAUUUCUGCCCUUAGUUCAAUGACCCAGAAGUUGCUGACAGAGAUGGUAUUGAAUAUCACUGAGGCUGGGAAGGCAUUGCAGUGGGAUCUAGCAUGUUCAGAAAUUCAGGAUUUCUUGAAUGACCAGCUAAUGGCCAUUCGGAAUGAUCUAGAGCACCAGGCUUGGCCCACUGCCCUUACAGACACAUCAGGAGUACCAUCUAAUCUGUGGCCAUGGAGACAUACUUGGAAACUUUCUGGGUGGAAGUGCAGACGUUCUCAGUGCUCCUUCCAAGCAUAUGGACCGGUUCAGGGGGUGUGGGCUCCCACAUACCGAAUCCUGCCGGGUCCAUGGGGAGGAUGCAUGUGGGAUUGGGUAAUUCAUCAAGACAUCUGGGAAAUUAGACCACCUGGUAUGCCCAAUCGAUUUUUAGUCAGUGCUCCUGGGAUUACAUCUGACAUUUGGAUGGAGUUAGGGAGUCAAUGGACAUUUUGGCCGUUACAACCCCCACAGCUUCAGUGCAUCCGUAAACUGAAGCCAGGAGAAGUUGUUACUCUUCAUGACUACAUUUGCUGGGAGGGUAUGGGACAAGGAACUACCCUGACAGGACACUUAUUUUUUAAGCUAAUGAUAGCUGUGUGUAUGUUAAAACCACCACAUUGCAAGACAUACAUUUUAAUCUCAUUACCACUGCAGGCAAUCAUAUUAUUUACUGGCCUGCAGAUAGAAUUUUGCAAGUAGUCCUUAGGUUCCAGAUACCCUUUAAUUGAACUAGUUUAGUACCUGAUCGAUUUUAAAAUUUGCUUUCACUGUUACCAGAGGUUCAGAAAAUCUCUGAAGGGCAAAUUCACAUGCUUCAAAAUGUAUAUCAAGUAGAAAAGUAUGCCUUUCACACUGCUUAUAGAGUAUCUAUCUUAUGUACUAAGUAUGAUGUAUUGUGCUUUAUGACUAAGGCUGUACAACAACCCCAUUAUAGUAUUGCUAUGGGAAUGUUAUUGCUUGUAUUGUUAUUAGUUAGCUUAGGAUUAUGUUACUGUUGUUGUAAAAGACGUAAUAAUAGUAAUACCUUUCAUGUCCAUGCUCAUCAUGCAUUGUCAUUACAUCCAAUCAAAACCCCUAAGGUUGAAGCAUCUGAUGUAGAAUCUGAAUUCCGAGAUUUAAUGCAAAUAGAGAUUUGAAA